This 305-nucleotide ribosomal RNA is filed under the name uncultured bacterium. RNAcentral describes it as "partial 16S ribosomal RNA". It matches the Rfam family "Bacterial small subunit ribosomal RNA", at positions 505 to 807 of the family's 1533-position model. The record is from RNAcentral.
ACAGCAGCAGCCGCGGGAAUACGGAGGAUCCAAGCGUUAUCCGGAAUCAUUGGGUUUAAAGGGUCCGUAGGCGGUCUUGUAAGUCAGUGGUGAAAGCCCAUCGCUCAACGGUGGAACGGCCAUUGAUACUGCAGGACUUGAAUUAUUGGGAAGUAACUAGAAUAUGUAGUGUAGCGGUGAAAUGCUUAGAGAUUACAUGGAAUACCAAUUGCGAAGGCAGGUUACUACCAAUUGAUUGACGCUGAUGGACGAAAGCGUGGGUAGCGAACAGGAUUAGAGACCCCUGUAGUCCCUGUCUCUUAUAC